UCCCUGGAGGACUAGUGGUUAGGCCACGACGCUCUCACUGCCUGGCCUGGGUUUGAUUCCCGGCCAGGGAA
Non-coding RNA from Pangasianodon gigas (Mekong giant catfish), 71 nucleotides. NCBI's taxonomy places the organism in Eukaryota, Metazoa, Chordata, Actinopteri, Siluriformes, Pangasiidae. The record is from the annotation of a GenBank genome assembly.